GUGAAUAAAUGAAGACUCGGCACACCACUUCUGAAAGGUUGCCAACCCCUGUACUAACCAAUGUAGGUUCCAGACUUGAACUCAGAGUCACGUGUUCGUGGUUCGCAUUUCAGUCAGGUGAGGAAGGGAGCAGAGAGAAGGGGAGAGGAGAGUUUUGAAUGAAAAUAUAGACACACAUGGGGCUUGAUGGUCUGUUGCCCUGCACCUUACGUAAGUAAAACACUAGCAAAUCAGCCGGGCAGUGUUUCAUGCCAACUUUGCACUGACUGAACAAGGUGCAGGGCAAUGGGGAAAUCGGGCCCACCGUUUAUAGUAUAUACAGGGGCAUCUGCUUGUGCUAAACUAGUUUGGUCUGGAGGCCUCUUCCAUCCCUAUUACACAGCAGGGGGUAGUUUGAAAUCCCCUACAGACACCAAGUAUCGCUCAAGAGUUCACAGCUCCUGAAACUGUGUGAAGUUCACACAGAGAUCUGGAGAUCCUGGGGAAACCCUCAACUCUGUUCCUUCCUUUAAAAACAAAACAAAAAAAACCCCACACAACAAAAACACAAUUCUCAUGCAAGCUGAGGUUUGCAUCCAACCACAACACCUUUUGUUCCCCUUCUUUCCAGACAUCAUUACAGCCACUCCCCUCCCAUGCUCAGAGUACAGGAGAAAUUGCUCCUCUCCUAGUUGGGCAUCCUUUAACUUGGCCUUUCUCCUCCCUUAGAAGCACGCUCCAUCUGGUAGCAAUUUGCUCUUCACGUUGCAGGUGUUUCCAUUUGACACAUCCCUUGACCGUGUCUGUGAAUCACUCGGGUGGAUAGGAACCGUGCUACAUCUGCACAGCUGCACCGCUGGAACACAUCUGGUGACGACGAGCUGUGCUGACAGGAGAGCGCUCUCCCAUUGGCAUAAAUACUGCACCGCGGCAAGAAACGGAAGUUAUGUCGUCAGGAGAGCGUCUGUCGGUGUGGACAGCAUGAAACUUGCGUCGCUUGGGAGGGGGCUUUUUCACACACAGCCCCCCCAAGCGAGCGACAAGGUCCAGGAAAACUACCUGCAGAUGUGUGCCUGCUCUCGAGCCAGUUGGGGAAGUUACACCAUGAGAAUUCACCUUCCUGAAGCAAGCCAGUAACAUCAGCAGCAAGUAGAGACCGACGGGGGGAGCCUGACAGCACGGAGGGAUGCACGGCGAGAACUGCUCUCAGAGGGAAGAAUGGUUUGCACACGUUCAGGUUAACGAUACAAUCACAAGGGUCCAGAGGGACAGAGAAACAAUACAGGGAGGAAAGGAUCCUAUUAGAGACUUGGUGGUUGGUUGCAUUAAAAUACUGUCACGGCAGAGACCAUGUUACGGAUACUUGGAUAGGCACACACUUGCGUCCGUGUGUGGGGUGCAGCUAAAUGAAGCCUAUGGACUGGAACCAGCCAAUGUGUCAAAAUCCAGUUCCAACUGAGUAGGGCAGGGGAUGCUUAACAAGGGUUCUUAGAAUCCCUACCCCACCAGAAUCCCUACCCAGUGGUUGGGGCAGCCCUCGAAGUGUCGCAUUGUCUGCGCUCGCUCCCUGUGCCUGUGGACCCGAUUCUCCGCUGCACCACACCGGGCACAGUCAUUUACCCCAGUGCAAAGUGGGGUGCAAACAGCUACCAGAUCAGAACGGCAGCCUCUCACCACCACUUUGCACUGGUGUAACCUAUUGCAUAAGGCCCAGGGCAACGGAGAGGCAGGCUCUGGGUGUCUAGUCCUUGAUGAUUGACAAUAUUGUGCGAAACGGGUCAUUUUAAAAAGGAAAUAAUCCAGGUUAUAUUCUAGGAGGCUUGCGAGAGGGUGUUAAUAUUGACAGCCAACCACAGCACCGUGAGGCUGGACCAAAUUCAUGACCACUUUAGGGCUCCAUUAGGCCAUAUAUAGGCUGACCAGACAGCAAAUGUGAAA
Molecule: long non-coding RNA, 1917 nt
Organism: Chrysemys picta bellii (western painted turtle)
Lineage: Eukaryota; Metazoa; Chordata; Testudines; Emydidae
Source: RefSeq, a predicted model, not a curated record